GACGAACGCUGGCGGCGUGCUUAACACAUGCAAGUCGAACGGAAAGGCCCUGCUUUUGUGGGGUGCUCGAGUGGCGAACGGGUGAGUAACACGUGAGUAACCUGUCCCUGACUUUGGGAUAACUUCAGGAAACUGGGGCUAAUACCGGAUAGGAGCUCCUGCUGCAUGGUGGGGGUUGGAAAGUUUCGGCUGUUGGGGAUGGACUCGCGGCUUAUCAGCUUGUUGGUGGGGUAGUGGCUUACCAAGGUUUUGACGGGUAGCCGGCCUGGGAGGGUGACCGGCCACAUUGGGCCUGCGAUACGGCCCAGACUCGUACGGGAGGCAGCGGUGGAGAAUAUUGCACAAUGGGCGGAAGCCUGAUGCAGCAACGCCGCGUGCGGGAUGACGGCCUUCGGGUUGUAAACCGCUUUCGCCUGUGACGAAGCGUGAGUGACGGUAAUGGGUAAAGAAGCACCGGCUAACUACGUG
RNAcentral lists this ribosomal RNA (468 nucleotides) under uncultured bacterium. Its description in RNAcentral is "partial 16S ribosomal RNA". It matches the Rfam family "Bacterial small subunit ribosomal RNA", at positions 28 to 507 of the family's 1533-position model. The record is from RNAcentral.